Molecule: ribosomal RNA, 364 nt
Filed under: uncultured eukaryote
Lineage: Eukaryota
Description: partial 18S ribosomal RNA
Rfam family: Eukaryotic small subunit ribosomal RNA
Source: RNAcentral
CAAAAGCGUAUAUUAAAGUUGUUGCAGUUAAAAAGCUCGUAGUUGAACCUUGGGCUUGGCUGGCCGGUCCAUCUCUUUUGAUGCGUACUGGACCCAGCCGAGCCUUUCCUUCUGGCUAGCCUUUUGGCGAACCAGGACUUUUACUUUGAAAAAAUUAGAGUGUUCAAAGCAGGCCUUUGCUCGAAUAUAUUAGCAUGGAAUAAUAGAAUAGGACGUUAUGGUUCUAUUUUGUUGGUUUCUAGGACCAUCGUAAUGAUUAAUAGGGACGGUCGGGGGUAUCAGUAUUCAGUUGUCAGAGGUGAAAUUCUUGGAUUUACUGAAGACUAACUACUGCGAAAGCAUUUACCAAGGACGUUUUCAUUAA